AUUUCUCCUCUGUGCUCACUGCCACACGCAGCUCAACCUGGACGGCACAGCCAGAUGCGAGAUGCGUCUCUGCUGAUCUGAGUCUGCCUGCAGCAUGGACCUGGGUCUUCCCUGAAGCAUCUCCAGGGCUGGAGGGACGACUGCCAUGGGCUCAUCCAUCCGCAGAGCAGGGCAGUGGGAGGAGACGCCAUGACCCCCAUCGUCACAGUCCUGAUCUGUCUCGGGCUGAGUCUGGGCCCCAGGACCCACGUGCAGACAGGGACCAUCCCCAAGCCCACCCUGUGGGCUGAGCCAGACUCUGUGAUCACCCAGGGGAGUCCCGUCACCCUCAGUUGUCAGGGGAGCCUUGAAGCCCAGGAGUACCGUCUAUAUAGGGAGAAAAAAUCAGCAUCUUGGAUUACACGGAUACGACCAGAGCUUGUGAAGAACGGCCAGUUCCACAUCCCAUCCAUCACCUGGGAACACACAGGGCGAUAUGGCUGUCAGUAUUACAGCCGCGCUCGGUGGUCUGAGCUCAGUGACCCCCUGGUGCUGGUGAUGACAGG
Molecule: unclassified non-coding RNA, 545 nt
Filed under: Homo sapiens (human)
Lineage: Eukaryota; Metazoa; Chordata; Mammalia; Primates; Hominidae
Description: leukocyte immunoglobulin like receptor B2 (ENSG00000274513.4)
Source: RNAcentral